GGAGUCAUAGCUCAGCGGGAGAGCGCCUGUAUGACAUGCAGGAGGUCGGCGGUUCGAUCCCACCUGGCUCCACCA
RNAcentral lists this transfer RNA (75 nucleotides) under Methylorubrum populi. Its description in RNAcentral is "tRNA-Val". It matches the Rfam family "tRNA". Rfam says of the family: Transfer RNA (tRNA) molecules are approximately 80 nucleotides in length. Their secondary structure includes four short double-helical elements and three loops (D, anti-codon, and T loops). Lineage: Bacteria; Pseudomonadati; Pseudomonadota; Alphaproteobacteria; Hyphomicrobiales; Methylobacteriaceae. The record is from RNAcentral.